AUCUGAUCUCAACUUAACCAUCUUUUUUCUUUCUUUCGACAGUUGUGCCAAAAUUCUCUACUGAAUAGACAAAUAUCAGCUCAUAUGUGAUCUGUCAGCAGAGUGUAGGUGAAGAAAGGUAAACAUGUUUACCGUGAGAUUUCCUUCCAGCAGUAUGUCUAAAAUGUGCUUCUCUGGCUCAAAGAAUGACUUACGCUUGAAAUGCUUAACCUGCAUUUAGAUCAGCAGUGUUACAAGGUCAAGUUGAUAUGUCCAGAUGGUGUCGUGCUCGAUUUUGGUAAUACUUCCAUCCUCGAUAUUGCUCUAUUGUGCGGUAGUUUGAAGCAUCAAAUGGAAUUUUAUUUUGUAUGUAUGAUGUUAUUUCAAGUUAUGCAUAAGAUCUUUGUUAAGGUGAAGCAGCAAAUAUUGCUAUGUUGUCCUUGAGAAUGUUGAGGAUUGAGAUUAUAAGUGUAAUUACGAAAGACAAAGUUGGACGUCUUUAUAAUGACG
Long non-coding RNA from Solanum stenotomum, 489 nucleotides. RefSeq lists it as uncharacterized. NCBI's taxonomy places the organism in Eukaryota, Viridiplantae, Streptophyta, Magnoliopsida, Solanales, Solanaceae. The transcript has 3 exons. The record is from RefSeq and is a predicted model, not a curated record.